Molecule: non-coding RNA, 89 nt
Filed under: Burkholderia sp. 8Y
Lineage: Bacteria; Pseudomonadati; Pseudomonadota; Betaproteobacteria; Burkholderiales; Burkholderiaceae
Description: c-di-GMP-I
Rfam family: c-di-GMP-I riboswitch aptamer
About the family: GEMM was predicted in a large-scale screen for bacterial structured RNA regulatory elements. Genes associated with GEMM are involved in a diverse array of functions, including chemotaxis regulation, signal transduction, secretion and chitin.
Source: RNAcentral
AAUGCGUGCAGGCAAACCCGGAGUGAUCCGGCGACGCAAAACUAAAGGGACUCACGCGCUGACGGCGCGUGAGUUUGCCAGUUGCCCGC